UUGCCUACGGGAGGCUGCAGCUAAGAAUAUUCCGCAAUGGACGAAAGUCUGACGGAGCGACGCCGCGUGGAUGAAGAAGGCCGAAAGGUUGUAAAGUUCUUUUGUUGGGGAAGAAUAACCAUGGGAGGGAAUGCCCGUGGGAUGACAUGAACCGACGAAUAAGCCCCGGCUAACUACGUGCCAGCAGCCGCGGUAACACGUAGGGGGCGAGCGUUGUUCGGAAUUACUGGGCGUAAAGGGCAUGUAGGCGGUCUUGUAAGCUUGGCGUGAAAGACCACGGCUCAACCGUGGGAUUGCGUUGAGAACUGCGAGGCUUGAGUGACGGAGAGGGAGCUAGAAUUCCUGGUGUAGGGGUGGAAUCUGUAGAGAUCAGGAAGAAUACCAAUGGCGAAGGCAAGCUCCUGGCCGAUGACUGACGCUGAGGUGCGAAAGUGUGGGGAUCAAACAGGAUUAGAUACCCCGGUAGUCCCA
RNAcentral lists this ribosomal RNA (471 nucleotides) under uncultured Treponema sp. RNAcentral's name for it is "bacterial SSU rRNA". It matches the Rfam family "Bacterial small subunit ribosomal RNA", at positions 335 to 797 of the family's 1533-position model. The record is from RNAcentral. Lineage: Bacteria; Pseudomonadati; Spirochaetota; Spirochaetia; Treponematales; Treponemataceae.